Molecule: ribosomal RNA, 1058 nt
Filed under: Salmonella enterica
Lineage: Bacteria; Pseudomonadati; Pseudomonadota; Gammaproteobacteria; Enterobacterales; Enterobacteriaceae
Description: partial 23S ribosomal RNA
Rfam family: Bacterial large subunit ribosomal RNA
Source: RNAcentral
AACCGUUAUAACCGGCGAUGUCCGAAUGGGGAAACCCAGUGUGACUCGUCACACUAUCAUUAACUGAAUCCAUAGGUUAAUGAGGCGAACCGGGGGAACUGAAACAUCUAAGUACCCCGAGGAAAAGAAAUCAACCGAGAUUCCCCCAGUAGCGGCGAGCGAACGGGGAGGAGCCCAGAGCCUGAAUCAGCAUGUGUGUUAGUGGAAGCGUCUGGAAAGGCGCGCGAUACAGGGUGAGAGCCCCGUACACAAAAGCGCAUAUGCUGUGAGCUCGAUGAGUAGGGCGGGACACGUGGUAUCCUGUCUGAAUAUGGGGGGACCAUCCUCCAAGGCUAAAUACUCCUGACUGACCGAUAGUGAACCAGUACCGUGAGGGAAAGGCGAAAAGAACCCCGGCGAGGGGAGUGAAACAGAACCUGAAACCGUGUACGUACAAGCAGUGGGAGCCUCUCUUUAUGGGGGGUGACUGCGUACCUUUUGUAUAAUGGGUCAGCGACUUAUAUUCUGUAGCAAGGUUAACCGCAUAGGGGAGCCGAAGGGAAACCGAGUCUUAAUUGGGCGUUAAGUUGCAGGGUAUAGACCCGAAACCCGGUGAUCUAGCCAUGGGCAGGUUGAAGGUUGGGUAACACUAACUGGAGGACCGAACCGACUAAUGUUGAAAAAUUAGCGGAUGACCUGUGGCUGGGGGUGAAAGGCCAAUCAAACCGGGAGAUAGCUGGUUCUCCCCGAAAGCUAUUUAGGUAGCGCCUCGUGAACUCAUCUCCGGGGGUAGAGCACUGUUUCGGCUAGGGGGCCAUCCCGGCUUACCAACCCGAUGCAAACUGCGAAUACCGGAGAAUGUUAUCACGGGAGACACACGGCGGGUGCUAACGUCCGUCGUGAAGAGGGAAACAACCCAGACCGCCAGCUAAGGUCCCAAAGUCAUGGUUAAGUGGGAAACGAUGUGGGAAGGCCCAGACAGCCAGGAUGUUGGCUUAGAAGCAGCCAUCAUUUAAAGAAAGCGUAAUAGCUCACUGGUCGAGUCGGCCUGCGCGGAAGAUGUAACGGGGCUAAACCAU